AAAAAAAAAAAAAAAGAAAGAAAGAAAGGAAGAAAGACUGGGGAUCUGAUGUGUAAAGCAUCCCAACCAUCCCCUCCAAAAGGAGCGAAGAGAGUUAGACAUGGAGGCGGAGGAUCAUCAGGCCAGCCUGUGCUACACAGCAAGUUCAAAGCCAGCCUGAACUACAUAGUGAGACCCUGGCUCAGAAAACCAAGAACAAAACCAAAACACCAUGAAAGCCCUCUAAGCGCGUCAUUUCCAGAGAUGCUGCAGGUGCAACAAAAGCAUCUGAACUUCGGGACAGACUCAGCACGAGCAGCGGAGGGUUAAGCUGGGGAGGGGCGGAGAACAGGAAGGCUCGGCAGGAGCUGCUGGUGUCUGUGAUCAUCUACUUUGUAAAAGUUAUGCAGCAAAUAUGUCACAAUGUUUAGAUUUGCUAAAGCUGAGAGGUAUGAGCGUAUAUAUGUAUGUAUAUAAUAGAUCUUUUGGUGGAUGUUUGAAAUGCUUUAUAAUUUUUAAAAAGUGUUAAGUGUUAGGGAUUUGGAUUCAGGCUCAGGGUCGCAACUUCUCUUCCCCAGCCACAAGCUGUGCUUUGGACAAGUUGCUUCCUCUGUCAUCUGCGACAGCCGUCACCUCCCUUUCGCCUGCACUGAACACCAUGGUGUUAACACCAGGAAACAGGCCUGGCAACCCUCCACCUCCCAGUCCCAUCUGGCACCCCAUGAGCCAGGGGCCCCUGCUCCCAGCUGCUGAGGAGAAGCGCAGCUCCUCCCUGCGGGCAGAGCCAGUAGUAGAGCGAGCAGAGCUGUGGGGCAGCCUCUAUUUCCCCGUGUGGUGCGUCUCAGGUCGUCACGGGGACGGAAGAGACAAGGUAUCUCCCAAAGUGACAGAGCCCUUGUGGUAUUUGAAAAAUCUAGUCCUAUUCCCUCCCCGUACACUUCCAGGUAAUUUAACGUUUCCCUUGGCGCCUGAAGAGUCGGAACUGUUUUUUACAAGUCACAGGAUGCCUAGCAGUCUUGGUCACUGAUGUGUAUCCAGGUGUAAAAGCAUGCGAGCACACAGUAGGUAUCGAGUGGGAGGACCAAUUUGUCAAGGUGACUUUAACGGAUUGCUGGGCACUCUAGGGAAGGGUACAAAACCUACCCCCAGAAAAUAAGACCCCGCACGGUCUCCCGCACCCUGUAAUUUGGAUCUCCAGGAAUCGCCUUUGUUGUGGGCGACCAACCACAGGCAAAGCGAGCACCUGCUUCUCCAGCCGGUCCUCGCGGAAGGACCCCAGGCUGCAGCAACCCUGGCUGCCUCUCAGAGUCCUUUAUUUUCUCGAGAGCUGGGGACCUGCAGGCGCCCUCCGCGUCCGCAGCCAGGGUCCGCCCCGGCGCUUCCCAGUCAUGGUGACGAGCGUCCCCAGUGCCCGACACCCCGACCGGGGCCAGCAGUCCUUGUCCCCUCGGGCCGGGGGUGGGGUGGGGGCUAGGGUUCCGCCUCGCCUGACACCCCCAGGCCCGCCGGGGAAGGCGCCCGAGUGGCGGCCGCGCACGCCCGGUCUCCGCGGCUUCCGUCCCGGGGCCACCUCCUCCCGCAGAGCUGGGCACGGGC
This 1575-nucleotide long non-coding RNA is filed under the name Chinchilla lanigera (long-tailed chinchilla). RNAcentral's name for it is "lncRNA (ENSCLAG00000028548.1)". The record is from RNAcentral. Lineage: Eukaryota; Metazoa; Chordata; Mammalia; Rodentia; Chinchillidae.